This is a long non-coding RNA of Manacus vitellinus (golden-collared manakin), 325 nucleotides long. RefSeq lists it as uncharacterized. NCBI's taxonomy places the organism in Eukaryota, Metazoa, Chordata, Aves, Passeriformes, Pipridae. The transcript is spliced from 3 exons. The record is from RefSeq and is a predicted model, not a curated record.
AGCAAGGAGGUUCUUUACAGAAGAAUCAGCCUGAUGAGCACUGGUUUUCAUGUGCUUGCUUUGUUUGCAUGCUUUGUGUUUUUCCAUUGGACCAACCAAUGGACUUGCAUGACUAGAAAUUCAGGCAAGCAAAUUCCAUAAGCAGCUUGACAGCUACACAAGACUAAGAAGGCAAAGGCUACAGAGCAGAAGGCUCUUAAAAGCAAAGGCUUCUUAAAUGAAAUAUUGGUGGUCCUCACCUCUUGUCUUCAGUUCUCAUGACCCAGGGUUAGCAAGAGAAGUCAGUACAGCUAUUCCAUUCUUAUCUCCAGAGUAACCUGGCACA